Molecule: ribosomal RNA, 196 nt
Filed under: uncultured bacterium
Lineage: Bacteria
Description: partial 16S ribosomal RNA
Rfam family: Bacterial small subunit ribosomal RNA
Source: RNAcentral
ACGCUCGACACCUAGGGGGCAGCAGUGGGGAAUAUUGCACAAUGGGGGAAACCCUGAUGCAGCGACGCCGCGUGAGUGAAGAAGUAUUUCGGUAUGUAAAGCUCUAUCAGCAGGGAAGAAGAUGACGGUACCUGAGUAAGAAGCCCCGGCUAACUACGUGCCAGCAGCCGCGGUAAUCUGAGCGGGCUGGCAAGGC